RNAcentral lists this long non-coding RNA (201 nucleotides) under Elaeis guineensis (African oil palm). RNAcentral describes it as "long non-coding RNA (EGUI_LNC034614)". Lineage: Eukaryota; Viridiplantae; Streptophyta; Magnoliopsida; Arecales; Arecaceae. The record is from RNAcentral.
CCUGGAAUCUGAAUGAGAAUAACACUCCUUCCAACCUAAUUAAUGGAAUCAGAGUCACUCAUUUUUAUGAUUUUAUUUCUAAGUUCAACUCUCCUCAACCAAACAUGCCCUUACUUCCUUCCCACCAUUAGCUUUUAGAGAUGGAGGCAACUAUCAGAAAUUGUAGGAGAGGUGAGACAAAGGCAGAGCAUGUCUAUAGGU